CUGUUUUUUUGAGGUAUGAAGCCAAAGAGAAGGUCUGGUCCUGCUUACUGGAGUCAAGGGGCCUGGCAUGUUUUUUACGUUCGAUCAUGCCCAGGGCAAGACCUUGCUCCAGUCUUGGAAAGCACAAACGGUGAUGUAACUUCUCUCCACGGACUCUGAUCCCAGGAGAAUUCAGAGCACUCCAGUUUCACUGCCUGGGUCAUCUCCACGUGUCAUCUGCAACGUCCUCACCCAGGCACAGCUCUGCUGAGGCUGUACUCAGCAUUACAGUUGGCUGAUCCUUCUCUAUUCCUUCUCUCUGGCACAGAUCUGGACUCUUCUUCCUCUCCAUUCUACAUACAAGGAUUAAUUCGAUAUUGACCGCUUUCCCAGAGCGCCGUCCCCUUGCCAGUUCCGUGACUGAAGCCUACGACUUGAAAAGAAGAGGAACAUCUGGGCCAAGGAUUGCUCUGCAAGCGGUUGAGUCCCGGGGCCUAAUGAGGCACUGCUUAUCAACAGAGCGUGCUUAUCUGGAGCCCGCUGCCGGAGUACCUGCUCCAGCCCCAUCGUUUGUAGAGGACAUGCCCACCUUGGAGACCGGUUCCUGUCAAAAGCCACCACUCCAGCAGGAAACCCUCUGAAGAUGGUUCUUCUGCUGAAGUAAAGCAACUCUAGGAGAGUAAAAAUGCACCUCUGAGGCUGGUUUGCAGGGGAUGGCAAGGUCCGGAGUCCUACAAUAUUUAGAUUGCUGUGUGCACAUAAAACUGGUGCGCCUCAUUAAGGGAAGCAGCAUCCUCCUCUAGAAGGAGAGAUCAUAGGAGAUCAUUGCUAGCAUUCACCCCCCAGUAUUUGCCAAUGUGUUGCAACUGUUUCUGGGAGUGGGCAAGUGGAGUUGACCCCACAAUGAAGAUGUCAGGAGACAAGUUUAAGUUCUGGUCCUGCCUGUGGACUCAUAAACGAGGCUGCCGGGAACAGUGAAAUUUCCACACUGCCUCAGCAAAGGUUUAGUCCAAGUUUAUUGCUGAGAUUAAAAGACUGGAGAAUAUAAAUUGUAAAUGUGAUGACUUAAGAGCUCAUAAAUUCAGUAUACAACUCCAUUCCAGAGAGCCAGUGAGCAGUGGAGCCAUGCUGCCUUGGGUUCACAUGCUGCCCUGUGCUCAAACCCACGUUCUCUAAAGAGUCCUUCUGGAGGGGUAGUCACCCCUCCCUGGAAUCUAUUGAAGCAACAUUACCUGUUUGAGCUGCCAGAAUGGGAAAGAUGAACGUUUCUACUAAUCCACAGGUUCUUCUACCAGUUUUUUGCUUAUUCUACUUGUGUCCCCUUUCAUGGAGCUGGGUGACCUCUGAGAGCAGAGGGAUGAGGAGGGCUCUGUGAAGGAGUGGAAUGAUGGAGAGUUAGAAAACAUUCUGCCUCUAGAAUUAGUCUGGUCCACACCAGGGAUGCAGAUAGUAGGCUGUGAGCUGUAAUGGAAUCAGAGAGACACGAGCUCCGACGGCUGGCAUUGGUGCACAGCACGCGGGGACCGGCGCCGGCGCACACCUGGGCGCAGGUAAGGCUGCACUGGG
This is a long non-coding RNA of Tympanuchus pallidicinctus (lesser prairie-chicken), 1545 nucleotides long. RefSeq lists it as uncharacterized. The transcript has 4 exons. Lineage: Eukaryota; Metazoa; Chordata; Aves; Galliformes; Phasianidae. The record is from RefSeq and is a predicted model, not a curated record.